Molecule: ribosomal RNA, 253 nt
Filed under: uncultured bacterium
Lineage: Bacteria
Description: partial 16S ribosomal RNA
Rfam family: Bacterial small subunit ribosomal RNA
Source: RNAcentral
GACAGAGGAGGCAAGCGUUAUCCGGAAUUACUGGGCGUAAAGCGUUCGUAGGUGGUUUGACAAGUCUGGGGUUAAAGCCCGGAGCCCAACCCCGGAUCUGCCCUGGAAACUGUCAGACUUGAGUAAGGUAGUGGUUGCGGGAAUUCCCGGUGUAGCAGUGAAAUGCGUAGAUAUCGGGAAGAACACCAGCGGCGAAAGCGCGCAACUGGGCCAUUACUGACACUGAGGCACGAAAGCUAGGGGAGCGAAUGGG